GAUACCCGCUGAACUUAAGCAUAUCAAUAAGCGGAGGAAAAGAAACCAACAGGGAUUGCCCCAGUAACGGCGAGUGAAGCGGCAAGAGCUCAAAUUUGAAAUCUGGCCCCGUCGGGGUCCGAGUUGUAAUUUGCAGAGGAUGCUUCGGGUGCGGCCCCCGUCUAAGUGCCCUGGAACGGGCCGUCAUAGAGGGUGAGAAUCCCGUCUGGGACGGGUGGCCGCGUCCGUGUGAAGCUCCUUCGACGAGUCGAGUUGUUUGGGAAUGCAGCUCUAAAUGGGUGGUAAAUUUCAUCUAAAGCUAAAUACUGGCCGGAGACCGAUAGCGCACAAGUAGAGUGAUCGAAAGAUGAAAAGCACUUUGAAAAGAGAGUUAAAUAGCACGUGAAAUUGUUGAAAGGGAAGCGCUUGCGACCAGACUCGCCCGCGGGGGCUCAGCCGGCACUCGUGCCGGUGCACUCCCCCGUGGGCGGGCCAGCGUCGGUUUGGGCGGUCGGUCAAAGGCCCCCGGAAUGUGUCGCCCUUCGGGGCGUCUUAUAGCCGGGGGUGCAAUGCGGCCAGCCCGGACCGAGGAACGCGCUUCGGCACGGACGCUGGCGUAAUGGUCGUAAGCGACC
Molecule: ribosomal RNA, 614 nt
Filed under: Thermoascus crustaceus
Lineage: Eukaryota; Fungi; Ascomycota; Eurotiomycetes; Eurotiales; Thermoascaceae
Description: eukaryotic LSU rRNA
Rfam family: Eukaryotic large subunit ribosomal RNA
Source: RNAcentral